UGCAGCUGAGCGGUAGAGGCCCUUCGGGGUCUUGAGAGCGGCGUACGGGUGCGGAACACGUGUGCAACCUGCCUUUAUCAGGGGGAUAGCCUUUCGAAAGGAAGAUUAAUACCCCAUAAUAUUUUGGAUGGCAUCAUUUAAAAUUGAAAACUGAGGUGGAUAAAGAUGGGCACGCGCAAGAUUAGAUAGUUGGUGAGGUAACGGCUCACCAAGUCGAUGAUCUUUAGGGGGCCUGAGAGGGUGAUCCCCCACACUGGUACUGAGACACGGACCAGACUCCUACGGGAGGCAGCAGUGAGGAAUAUUGGACAAUGGGUUAGCGCCUGAUCCAGCCAUCCCGCGUGAAGGACGACGGCCCUAUGGGUUGUAAACUUCUUUUGUACAGGGAU
Molecule: ribosomal RNA, 389 nt
Filed under: Chryseobacterium sp. MCA2.27
Lineage: Bacteria; Pseudomonadati; Bacteroidota; Flavobacteriia; Flavobacteriales; Weeksellaceae
Description: bacterial SSU rRNA
Rfam family: Bacterial small subunit ribosomal RNA
Source: RNAcentral